Molecule: ribosomal RNA, 521 nt
Filed under: uncultured Glomeromycotina
Lineage: Eukaryota; Fungi; Glomeromycota
Description: SSU rRNA
Rfam family: Eukaryotic small subunit ribosomal RNA
Source: RNAcentral
AGCAGCCGCGGUAAUUCCAGCUCCAAUAGCGUAUAUUAAAGUUGCUGCAGUUAAAAAGCUCGUAGUUGAAUUUCGGGACCAUCAUGUCGGUCGUGCCUCGGUACGUACUGGCAUUGUUGGUUUCUCCCUUCUGACGAACCAUGAUGUCAUUUAUUUGGUGUCGUGGGAAAUCAGGACUGUUACUUUGAAAAAAUUAGAGUGUUUAAGGCAGGCUCACGCUUGAAUACAUUAGCAUGGAAUAAUGAAAUAGGACGUUUGAUUCUAUUUUGUUGGUUUCUAGGAUCGACGUAAUGAUUAAUAGGGAUAGUUGGGGGCAUUAGUAUUCAAUUGUCAGAGGUGAAAUUCUUGGAUUUAUUGAAGACUAACUACUGCGAAAGCAUUUGCCAAGGAUGUUUUCAUUAAUCAAGAACGAAAGUUAGGGGAUCGAAGACGAUCAGAUACCGUCGUAGUCUUAACCAUAAACUAUGCCGACUAGGGAUCGGAUGAUGUUAAUUUUUUAAUGACUCAUUCGGCGCCUUACG